GAGAGGCCCAAACGUUAUUCGGAAUUACUGGGCUUAAAGAGUUCGUAGGCGGCGCAGAAAGUAGGGUGUGAAAGCCCUCGGCUUAACCGAGGAAUUGCGCUCUAAACUACUGUGCUUGAGGAACCUAGAGGUGAGCAGAACAGAUGGUGGAGCGGUGAAAUGCGUUGAUAUCAUCUGGAAUACCGGAGGCGAAGGCGGCUCACUGGGGGUUUUCUGACGCUGAGGAACGAAAGCCAGGGUAGCGAACGGGAUUAGAUACCCCGGUAGUCCUGGCCGUAAACGAUGAGCACUAGGCCGGAGGGCUGCACAGCCUUUCGGCCGUAGCUAAAGUGUUAAGUGCUCCGCCUGGGGAGUAUGGUCGCAAGGCUG
RNAcentral lists this ribosomal RNA (369 nucleotides) under uncultured bacterium. Its description in RNAcentral is "bacterial SSU rRNA". It matches the Rfam family "Bacterial small subunit ribosomal RNA", at positions 527 to 896 of the family's 1533-position model. The record is from RNAcentral.